RNAcentral lists this ribosomal RNA (468 nucleotides) under uncultured bacterium. Its description in RNAcentral is "partial 16S ribosomal RNA". It matches the Rfam family "Bacterial small subunit ribosomal RNA", at positions 28 to 507 of the family's 1533-position model. The record is from RNAcentral.
GACGAACGCUGGCGGCGUGCUUAACACAUGCAAGUCGAGCGGAAAGGCCCUGCUUUUGUGGGGUGCUCGAGUGGCGAACGGGUGAGUAACACGUGAGUAACCUGCCCUUGACUUUGGGAUAACUUCAGGAAACUGGGGCUAAUACCGGAUAGGAGCUCCUGCUGCAUGGUGGGGGUUGGAAAGUUUCGGCAGUUGGGGAUGGACUCGCGGCUUAUCAGCUUGUUGGUGGGGUAGUGGCUUACCAAGGCUUUGACGGGUAGCCGGCCUGAGAGGGUGACCGGCCACAUUGGGACUGAGAUACGGCCCAGACUCCUACGGGAGGCAGCAGUGGGGAAUAUUGCACAAUGGGCGGAAGCCUGAUGCAGCAACGCCGCGUGCGGGAUGACGGCCUUCGGGUUGUAAACCGCUUUCGCCUGUGACGAAGCGUGAGUGACGGUAAUGGGUAAAGAAGCACCGGCUAACUACGUG